UACGGGGGGGGUAAGCGUUGUUCGGAAUCACUGGGCUUAAAGGGCGCGUAGGCGGGCAUUCAAGUCUGUGGUGAAAUCCUCCGGCUCAACCGGAGAACUGCCUCGGAUACUGGGUGUCUCGAGGGUGAUAGGGGUAUGCGGAACUAUCGGUGGAGCGGUGAAAUGCGUUGAUAUCGAUAGGAACUCCGGUGGCGAAGGCGGCAUACUGGAUCACUUCUGACGCUGAGGCGCGAAAGCCAGGGGAGCAAACGGG
Molecule: ribosomal RNA, 253 nt
Filed under: uncultured bacterium
Lineage: Bacteria
Description: partial 16S ribosomal RNA
Rfam family: Bacterial small subunit ribosomal RNA
Source: RNAcentral